UUCCUACGGGAGGCAGCAGUGGGGAUCUUGCACAAUGGGGGAAACCCUGAUGCAGCGACGCCGCGGCGAUAAGCCUUCGGGGUGUAAAGCUCUUUCGGCAGGGAAGAUGAUGACGGUACCUGCAGAAGCAGCUGCGGCUAACUACGUGCCAGCAGCCGCGGUAAUACGUAGGCAGCGAGCGUUGUUCGGAGUUACUGGGCGUAAAGGGUGUGUAGGCGGUUGUUUAAGUUUGGUGUGAAAUCUCCCGGCUCAACUGGGAGGGUGCGCCGAAUACUGAAUGACUUGGAGUGCGGGAGAGGAAAGUGGAAUUCCUGGUGUAGCGGUGAAAUGCGUAGAUAUCAGGAGGAACACCGGUGGUGUAGACGGCUUUCUGGACCGUAACUGACGCUGAGACACGAAAGCGUGGGUAGCAAACAGGAUUAGAUACCCUGGUAGUCCACGCCCUAAACGAUGCAUAUUUGGUGUGGGCAGUUCAUUCUGUCCGUGCCGGAGCUAACGCGUUAAAUAUGCCGCCUGGGGAGUACAGUCGCAAGGCUGAAACUCAAAGGAAUUGACGGGGGCCCGCACAAGCGGUGGAGCAUGUGGUUCAUUUCGAGCAACGCGAAGACUAACCUGGGCUCGAACGCUGAUCAACGCGGUGGAAACAUCGCUACCCCGCAAGGGGGUUCAGUCGAGUGCUGCAUGGCUGUCGUCAGCUCGUGUCUGAGAUGUUGGGUUAAGUCCCGCAACGAGCGCAACCCUUGUCCUGUGUUGCCAUGCCGAAAGGCGGAACUCGCAGGAGACCGCCAGGGAUAACCUGGAGGAAGGUGGGGAUGACGUCAAGUCCUCAUGGCCUUUAUGUCCAGGGCUACACACGUGCUACAAUGGACGGUACAAAGCGCAGCGAACUCGCGAGAGGGAGCCAAUCGCAAAAAACCGUUCUCAGUUCGGAUUGCAGGCUGCAACUCGCCUGCAUGAAGCUGGAAUCGCUAGUAAUGGCAGAUCAGCACGCUGCCGUGAAUACGUUCCCGGGCCUUG
This 1017-nucleotide ribosomal RNA is filed under the name uncultured Acidobacteriota bacterium. RNAcentral's name for it is "bacterial SSU rRNA". It matches the Rfam family "Bacterial small subunit ribosomal RNA", at positions 336 to 1383 of the family's 1533-position model. The record is from RNAcentral. Lineage: Bacteria; Pseudomonadati; Acidobacteriota.